GCUUGGGUGGCUCGGUUGCUUGAGCAUCUGACUUCAGCUCAGUUCAUGUUGUCAUGGUUCGUGGGUUCGAGCCCACGUCAGGCU
Non-coding RNA from Felis catus (domestic cat), 84 nucleotides. Lineage: Eukaryota; Metazoa; Chordata; Mammalia; Carnivora; Felidae. The record is from Rfam.